AGUGAACGCUGGCGGUAGGCCUAACACAUGCGAGUCGAACGGCAGCACAGUAAGAGCUUGCUCUUACGGGUGGCGAGUGGCGGACGGGUGAGGAAUACAUCGGAAUCUACUUUUUCGUGGGGGAUAACGUAGGGAAACUUACGCUAAUACCGCAUACGACCUGCGGGUGAAAGCAGGGGAUCUUCGGACCUUGCGCGAUUGAAUGAGCCGAUGUCGGAUUAGCUAGUUGGCGGGGUAAAGGCCCACCAAGGCGACGAUCCGUAGCUGGUCUGAGAGGAUGAUCAGCCACACUGGAACUGAGACACGGUCCAGACUCCUACGGGAGGCAGCAGUGGGGAAUAUUGGACAAUGGGCGCAAGCCUGAUCCAGCCAUACCGCGUGGGUGAAGAAGGCUUUCGGGUUGUAAAGCCCUUUUGUUGGGAAAGAAAAGCAGCAGGUUAAUACCCCGCUGUUCUGACGGUACCCAAAGAAUAAGCACCGGCUAACUUCGUG
RNAcentral lists this ribosomal RNA (492 nucleotides) under uncultured bacterium. RNAcentral describes it as "partial 16S ribosomal RNA". It matches the Rfam family "Bacterial small subunit ribosomal RNA", at positions 29 to 507 of the family's 1533-position model. The record is from RNAcentral.